Molecule: long non-coding RNA, 314 nt
Organism: Austrofundulus limnaeus
Lineage: Eukaryota; Metazoa; Chordata; Actinopteri; Cyprinodontiformes; Rivulidae
Exons: 3
Source: RefSeq, a predicted model, not a curated record
UUUUGUUGCUUUUCGGAUUUUGUUAGUCUAACAUCUCUAAAAAGCUCUCAAGAAUGCAGAGAAAUCUCUCUCUACAAAGAACAAGCUGUUUCCUACCUCAAGGUCAUCCCAACAAGCAAAUUUGCACCAUUAAAAAAUGACAAUUGUUUUACACCAGAUGCCUUUCCUGAGAGAACCUGGACCAGAAACUGAUGCUCAGGAUGACAAGACCACAGCACUGACACAUACAAAUUUUCUUUGGCAAAUGUUUAAUUUAAAAAUGAACAGCCAAAGCAAAUAUUUAAGUAAAAGCCAGUGUUUUAGGACAAAAGGUU